GGGCGAGUAGCUCAGUUGGUAGAGCAGAGGGCUGAAAAUCCUCGUGUCGUUGGUUCGACUCCAACCUUGCCCA
RNAcentral lists this transfer RNA (73 nucleotides) under Bacillus phage Izhevsk. RNAcentral's name for it is "tRNA-Phe". It matches the Rfam family "tRNA". From Rfam's summary of the family: Transfer RNA (tRNA) molecules are approximately 80 nucleotides in length. Their secondary structure includes four short double-helical elements and three loops (D, anti-codon, and T loops). Lineage: Duplodnaviria; Heunggongvirae; Uroviricota; Caudoviricetes. The record is from RNAcentral.